This 462-nucleotide unclassified non-coding RNA is filed under the name uncultured Russula. RNAcentral's name for it is "sequence contains ITS2". The stretch from base 1 to 154 matches the Rfam family "5.8S ribosomal RNA". Lineage: Eukaryota; Fungi; Basidiomycota; Agaricomycetes; Russulales; Russulaceae. The record is from RNAcentral.
AACUUUUUGCAAUGUGUCACGUGGCUCUCGCGUCGAUUAAGAACGCAGCGAAAUGCGAUACGUAAUGUGAAUUGCAGAAUUCAGUGAAUCAUCGAAUCUUUGAACGCACCUUGCGCCCCUUGGCAUUCCGAGGGGCACACCCGUUUGAGUGUCGUGAAAUUCUCAAAACCUUUUCCUUUGCCGGAAAGGAUUUUGGAUUUGGAGGCCUUUGGCUGGUUUCACCUCGAAUCGAGCUCCUCCCAAAUGGAUUAGUGGGGUCUGCUUUGCCGAUCCUUGACGUGAUAAGAUGCUUCUACGUCUCGGGUUUUGGCACUGUGCCUCUGCUUCUAACCGUCUCAUUGACAACGAUGGUGUUCCGGUCACCGCCGAUUCGUCGGUGGGAGGCUUGACCCACAAAACGACCUUGACCUCAAAUCGGGUGAGACUACCCGCUGAACUUAAGCAUAUCAAUAAGCGGAGGCU